UACGAAGGGUGCAAGCGUUGCUCGGAAUUAUUGGGCGUAAAGGGUAGGUAGGUGGUUACGUAUGUCUGGGGUGAAAUCCCUGAGCUUAACUCAGGAAGUGCCUUGGAAACGGCGUAACUAGAGUACUAGAGAGGUUCGUGGAAUUCCCGGUGUAGCGGUGAAAUGCGUAGAGAUCGGGAGGAACAUCAGAGGCGAAGGCG
Molecule: ribosomal RNA, 200 nt
Filed under: uncultured bacterium
Lineage: Bacteria
Description: partial 16S ribosomal RNA
Rfam family: Bacterial small subunit ribosomal RNA
Source: RNAcentral